Molecule: ribosomal RNA, 253 nt
Filed under: uncultured bacterium
Lineage: Bacteria
Description: partial 16S ribosomal RNA
Rfam family: Bacterial small subunit ribosomal RNA
Source: RNAcentral
GCCAGAGGGGGCAAGCGUUGCUCGGAAUCACUGGGCGUAAAGGGCGCGUAGGCGGGAUGGCAAGUCAGUCGUGAAAUCUCUCGGCUCAACCGAGAAACGUCGGCUGAUACUGCCGUUCUUGAGGGAUGCAGAGGAGACUGGAAUUCCCGGUGUAGCGGUGAAAUGCGUAGAUAUCUGGAGGAACACCGGUGGCGAAGGCGACAUCCUGGACCGGUAUUGACGCUGAGGCGCGAAAGCCAGGGGAGCAAACGGG